GACGAACGCUGGCGGCGUGCUUAACACAUGCAAGUCGAACGAUGAAGCUGGAGCUUGCUCCGGUGGAUUAGUGGCGAACGGGUGAGUAACACGUGAGCAAUCUGCCCUUGACUCUGGGAUAACUGCGGGAAACUGUAGCUAAUACCGGAUACGAGGCUCGAAGGCAUCUUCGGGUCCGGAAAGAAUUUCGGUCAAGGAUGAGCUCGCGGCCUAUCAGCUUGUUGGUGAGGUAAUGGCUCCCCAAGGCGACGACGGGUAGCCGGCCUGAGAGGGUGACCGGCCACAGUGGGACUGAGACACGGCCCAGACUCCUACGGGAGGCAGCAGUGGGGAAUAUUGCACAAUGGGCGAAAGCCUGAUGCAGCAACGCCGCGUGAGGGAUGAAGGCCUUCGGGUUGUAAACCUCUUUUAGCAGGGAAGAAGCGAAAGUGACGGUACCUGCAGAAAAAGCACCGGCUAACUACGUGCCAGCAGCCGCCGUAA
Molecule: ribosomal RNA, 483 nt
Filed under: uncultured bacterium
Lineage: Bacteria
Description: partial 16S ribosomal RNA
Rfam family: Bacterial small subunit ribosomal RNA
Source: RNAcentral